AGUGAACGCUGGCGGUAGGCCUAACACAUGCAAGUCGAACGGCAGCACAGUAAGAGCUUGCUCUUACGGGUGGCGAGUGGCGGACGGGUGAGGAAUACAUCGGAAUCUACUUUUUCGUGGGGGAUAACGUAGGGAAACUUACGCUAAUACCGCAUACGACCUACGGGUGGAAGCAGGGGAUCUUCGGACCUUGCGCGAUUGAAUGAGCCGAUGUCGGAUUAGCUAGUUGGCGGGGUAAAGGCCCACCAAGGCGACGAUCCGUAGCCGGUCUGAGAGGAUGAUCAGCCACACUGGAACUGAGACACGGUCCAGACUCCUACGGGAGGCAGCAGUGGGGAAUAUUGGACAAUGGGCGCAAGCCUGAUCCAGCCAUACCGCGUGGGUGAAGAAGGCCUUCGGGUUGUAAAGCCCUUUUGUUGGGAAAGAAAAGCAGCAGGUUAAUACCCCGCUGUUCUGACGGUACCCAAAGAAUAAGCACCGGCUAACUUCGUG
Molecule: ribosomal RNA, 492 nt
Filed under: uncultured bacterium
Lineage: Bacteria
Description: partial 16S ribosomal RNA
Rfam family: Bacterial small subunit ribosomal RNA
Source: RNAcentral